GGAAGGGUGGCAGAGUGGUCGAAUGCAACGGUUUUGAAAACCGUCGUAGGGCAACUUACCGAGGGUUCGAAUCCCUCCCCUUCCG
This 85-nucleotide transfer RNA is filed under the name Watanabea reniformis. RNAcentral describes it as "tRNA-Ser". It matches the Rfam family "tRNA". Rfam says of the family: Transfer RNA (tRNA) molecules are approximately 80 nucleotides in length. Their secondary structure includes four short double-helical elements and three loops (D, anti-codon, and T loops). Further hydrogen bonds mediate the characteristic L-shaped molecular structure. tRNAs have two regions of fundamental functional importance: the anti-codon, which is responsible for specific mRNA codon recognition, and the 3' end, to which the tRNAs corresponding amino acid is attached (by aminoacyl-tRNA synthetases). tRNAs cope with the degeneracy of the genetic code in two manners: having more than one tRNA (with a specific anti-codon) for a particular amino acid; and 'wobble' base-pairing, i.e. permitting non-standard base-pairing at the 3rd anti-codon position. The record is from RNAcentral. Lineage: Eukaryota; Viridiplantae; Chlorophyta; Trebouxiophyceae; Watanabeales; Watanabeaceae.